GGAGCCGGCGGAAGCGGAAGCGUGAACAAAGGAUGCUGAUUUGCAAUCAGCCGGUCGUCGGUUCGAGUCCGACAGAUGGCUCCA
RNAcentral lists this transfer RNA (84 nucleotides) under Verrucomicrobiales bacterium. RNAcentral describes it as "tRNA-Ser". RNAcentral also lists the same sequence under 1 other name. The record is from RNAcentral. Lineage: Bacteria; Pseudomonadati; Verrucomicrobiota; Verrucomicrobiia; Verrucomicrobiales.